RNAcentral lists this ribosomal RNA (508 nucleotides) under uncultured bacterium. RNAcentral's name for it is "partial 16S ribosomal RNA". It matches the Rfam family "Bacterial small subunit ribosomal RNA", at positions 30 to 523 of the family's 1533-position model. The record is from RNAcentral.
AUUGAACGCUGGUGGCAGGCCUAACACAUGCAAGUCGAGCGGCAGCGGGAAAGUAGCUUGCUACUUUUGCCGGCGAGCGGCGGACGGGUGAGUAAUGCCUGGGAAAUUGCCCAGUCGAGGGGGAUAACAGUUGGAAACGACUGCUAAUACCGCAUACGCCCUGCGGGGGAAAGCAGGGGACCUUCGGGCCUUGCGCGAUUGGAUAUGCCCAGGUGGGAUUAGCUAGUUGGUGAGGUAAUGGCUCACCAAGGCGACGAUCCCUAGCUGGUCUGAGAGGAUGAUCAGCCACACUGGAACUGAGACACGGUCCAGACUCCUACGGGAGGCAGCAGUGGGGAAUAUUGCACAAUGGGGGAAACCCUGAUGCAGCCAUGCCGCGUGUGUGAAGAAGGCCUUCGGGUUGUAAAGCACUUUCAGCGAGGAGGAAAGGUUGAUGCCUAAUACGUAUCAACUGUGACGUUACUCGCAGAAGAAGCACCGGCUAACUCCGUGCCAGCCGCCGCAGUAA